RNAcentral lists this transfer RNA (65 nucleotides) under Paraleonnates uschakovi. Its description in RNAcentral is "tRNA-Gly". Lineage: Eukaryota; Metazoa; Annelida; Polychaeta; Phyllodocida; Nereididae. The record is from RNAcentral.
AUCACUUUAGUAUACAUCAGUACAGUUGCCUUCCAAGCAAAAAGAUUAUAGGUUUAAAAGUGAUA